This 440-nucleotide ribosomal RNA is filed under the name Anophryoides haemophila. Its description in RNAcentral is "partial Bacterial large subunit ribosomal RNA". It matches the Rfam family "Bacterial large subunit ribosomal RNA", at positions 1134 to 1577 of the family's 2925-position model. Lineage: Eukaryota; Ciliophora; Oligohymenophorea; Philasterida; Glauconematidae. The record is from RNAcentral.
GUAAUAGCUCACUGGUCGAGUCGGUCCGCGCGGAAGAUGUAACGGGGCUAAACCAUGCACCGAAGCUGCGGCAGCGACACUAUGUGUUGUUGGGUAGGGGAGCGUUCUGUAAGCCGUUGAAGGUGGCCUGUGAGGGUUGCUGGAGGUAUCAGAAGUGCGAAUGCUGACAUGAGUAACGAUAAUGGGUGUGAAAAACACCCACGCCGAAAGACCAAGGUUUCCUGCGCAACGUUAAUCGACGCAGGGUUAGUCGGUCCCUAAGGCGAGGCUGAAAAGCGUAGUCGAUGGAAAACAGGUUAAUAUUCCUGUACUUCUGGUUAUUGCGAUGGAGGGACGGAGAAGGCUAGGCCAGCUUGGCGUUGGUUGUCCAAGUUUAAGGUGGUAGGCUGGAAUCUUAGGUAAAUCCGGGAUUCUAAGGCCGAGAGCUGAUGACGAGUUAU